GCUCAGGAUGAACGCUGGCGGCGUGCUUAACACAUGCAAGUCGAACGAUGAUCCGGUGCUUGCACCGGGGAUUAGUGGCGAACGGGUGAGUAACACGUGAGUAACCUGCCCUUAACUCUGGGAUAAGCCUGGGAAACUGGGUCUAAUACCGGAUAUGACUCCUCAUCGCAUGGUGGGGGGUGGAAAGCUUUAUUGUGGUUUUGGAUGGACUCGCGGCCUAUCAGCUUGUUGGUGAGGUAAUGGCUCACCAAGGCGACGACGGGUAGCCGGCCUGAGAGGGUGACCGGCCACACUGGGACUGAGACACGGCCCAGACUCCUACGGGAGGCAGCAGUGGGGAAUAUUGCACAAUGGGCGCAAGCCUGAUGCAGCGACGCCGCGUGAGGGAUGACGGCCUUCGGGUUGUAAACCUCUUCAGUAGGGAAGAAGGAAA
This 433-nucleotide ribosomal RNA is filed under the name Arthrobacter humicola. RNAcentral's name for it is "bacterial SSU rRNA". It matches the Rfam family "Bacterial small subunit ribosomal RNA", at positions 22 to 454 of the family's 1533-position model. The record is from RNAcentral. Lineage: Bacteria; Bacillati; Actinomycetota; Actinomycetes; Micrococcales; Micrococcaceae.